RNAcentral lists this ribosomal RNA (431 nucleotides) under uncultured bacterium. Its description in RNAcentral is "partial 16S ribosomal RNA". It matches the Rfam family "Bacterial small subunit ribosomal RNA", at positions 29 to 507 of the family's 1533-position model. The record is from RNAcentral.
AACGAACGCUGGCGGCAGGCCUAACACAUGCAAGUCGAGCGCCCCGCAAGGGGAGCGGCGGACGGGUGAGUAACGCGUGGGAAUAUGCCCUUUGCUACGGAAUAGUCUCGGGAAACUGGGGGUAAUACCGUAUACGCCCUUUGGGGGAAAGAGUUAUCGGCGAAGGAUUAGCCCGCGUUGGAUUAGGUAGUUGGUGGGGUAAUGGCCUACCAAGGCGACGAUCCAUAGCUGGUUUGAGAGGAUGAUCAGCCACACUGGGACUGAGACACGGCCCAGACUCCUACGGGAGGCAGCAGUGGGGAAUCUUAGACAAUGGGGGCAACCCUGAUCUAGCCAUGCCGCGUGAGUGAUGAAGGCCUUAGGGUUGUAAAGCUCUUUCAGCUGGGAAGAUAAUGACGGUACCAGCAGAAGAAGCCCCGGCUAACUCCGUG